This 28-nucleotide small RNA is filed under the name Bombyx mori (domestic silkworm). RNAcentral describes it as "ovarian small RNA-29398". The record is from RNAcentral. Lineage: Eukaryota; Metazoa; Arthropoda; Insecta; Lepidoptera; Bombycidae.
UCUAACAUUAUGUUGUAAGUCCGUAAGA